UGGUCGGACUUGCGGAUCCGUAGAUCUCGCUGUGACAGUCGCUUUCUGGCUGCGGCUUCUGUGGCACAGCGCGGAGUGCCCUCUGAUCUCUCGGCCUCAGAUCACCUCGUUCCCCAAACGACACGCGUCGAAAAAACACUCAUAUUUAUUGGACUUUCGCGUUAAGCCACCUUAAAUAUAUGAUCAGCAUUUAGCAAAAUAAUGGCUCUUUAACAAGAAAACGCUUUAUAAGUGUCAAUUAAUUGAACAUUUCGCAGGUGCUAAAACUACUUAAGCCAAACGUGCAGAUCCCUCGAAAAUCUAUUAAAAACUAAACGAUGCGUUUCAAUUUCUCCACCCACUCGGCGGCGCCCAACUCAACGGCAACGACAACAACCACAACGCAGGCAGCAAAUGGAGGGGAUAAGGCUACCCAACCGCUGAAGAAGGCCAUCGAUGCGGAUCCCGAUUCGCUGGACAGUGUGAUCAGCAAUCCGCAUUCGUAUCCCAUCACAAUAGUGCCCAAUCGGCCGACCAGCUUCUAUGGCCUAUCCCCAAAUGGCAAGGCGUUCCCCCGCCAACCGAGCUGCAGAUCUCGCAAUUUCCGGCCUGGCAGCAUGAGAAGAAUUCGCCGUCGGGCUGUGUUCAAAAAUGGUGACUGCAAUGUGGUCCAGAAGCACCUCCAGAGACGUCGUGUUCGCUUUCUGCAGGACAUGUACACCACGAUGGUGGAUUGGCAGUGGCGAUGGACUCUGUUGGCCUUCGCCCUCAGCUUCAUACUGUCUUGGCUCUUCUUUGCGCUCAUCUGGUGGCUGAUCGUCUACACACACGGAGACUUAGAGGGACCUCAUCUACCCGAAAAUCAAGAGGAAUCGAACUGGGCGCCUUGUGUCUCUGCCAUUGAUGGAUUUACCUCCUGUUUUCUGUUCUCCAUCGAAACACAGCACACGAUUGGCUACGGAGUGCGCACCACCUCACCGGAGUGUCCAGAGGCUAUCUUUAUGAUGUGCUUCCAGUCCAUCUACGGCGUGAUGUCCUCAGCAUUUAUGGCUGGAAUUGUGUUCGCCAAAAUGACGAGGGCCAAGCAGCGGGCACAGACUUUGUUAUUCUCCAAGCAUGCGGUUAUUUGCCAGCGAGAUGGUUGCCUUUCCCUAAUGUUCCGUGUGGGCGACAUGCGAAAGUCUCACAUCAUUGGAGCCGGAGUUAGGGCUCAGUUAAUACGGACAAAGAGCACCAAAGAGGGUGAGGUGAUGACGCAGUACUUCACGGAACUGGAGAUUGGCACCGAUGACUCUGGCUCUGAUUUGUUCUUCAUCUGGCCCAUGGUCAUUGAGCACAAGAUCGAUGAGAACUCACCGCUGUAUAAUCUGAAUGCCACUGAUAUGCUGCAGGAUAAAUUCGAAAUUGUUGUACUCCUGGAGGGCACUGUGGAGUCCACUGGUCAGAGUACACAAGCCAGAUCUAGUUAUAUUAACACUGAGAUUCUUUGGGGCCAUCGCUUCGACCCUGUGGUGCUGUACAACAAGGACCUGCAGGCCUAUGAGAUCGACUAUGCCCGCUUCAACGAAACCACUCAGGUGGACACUCCAUUGUGCAGUGCCCGGGAGCUAAACGAGAUCUACAAGAUCCAGGAGGGAUUCCGGACACCAGCAGAAACCACCUUCACCAUGCGUCAACUGUCCCACAAUCAUUCCGAUCAGGCCUCCUAGGCCCAGAUUCCAGUGUUUCGUCCCCGUGUUGCUAUAGUUUGUAAUUGUUUUUGUCCUAUCUUCCCCCUCGAUCCAAUCGAGGUGCUCCUGCAGUUCCGGCUAUCAGACACCUGGAAGGCAAAGCCGCCUGCGCUGGCAGCUCUCGGUGCCCUUGUAGUGCUCCCCAGACUAUCCCCACACAUACACUCAAAAGUACGAGUUACCCUACGAAAAUAAGUUAAUAAACGCUUUAGUUUGAGUCUA
This is an RNA transcript of Drosophila eugracilis, 1931 nucleotides long. It is a transcript of the gene named G protein-activated inward rectifier potassium channel 3, with no coding region annotated. The record is from RefSeq and is a predicted model, not a curated record. Lineage: Eukaryota; Metazoa; Arthropoda; Insecta; Diptera; Drosophilidae. The transcript has 6 exons.